This 843-nucleotide unclassified non-coding RNA is filed under the name Penaeus japonicus. RNAcentral describes it as "protein no-on-transient A-like, transcript variant X3". The record is from RNAcentral. Lineage: Eukaryota; Metazoa; Arthropoda; Malacostraca; Decapoda; Penaeidae.
GCCAGAGCUCUUGGUACACGCUGCUCUAAUCCUGACGCGGAGAGCGGCGGCGGUGGUCGUGCUACGCGGAGAGCUCCUUGAGGCUGGUGCUCUGGGAUUCAGCUCCUUCUCUCACGCCCGCUGUCAUGCCUGGUGUCACGGGUAACUUUUGGGAGUACCCAUUUUGACGGUCGCCGCUGCAGGGGUACCCGCGGGGAGCUCUCCUUGCCGCCGGUGCAGUUGCCAGGGGCCCUUCGCUCCCCCCGCGGACAGGCUACGUGGAGCGCCGUCAGCUCUUGUGUUGCAGUUUACUUUCGCGGCCGCUUGGCGAUUUGGAAUAAGGGUUGUGGGGCUGCGAGGAUGGGCGGCACACCGCCCAUGACGUGACGGGGCGCCUUGCGUGGGCGCCGCCCAUGGCCAUGGACCACGCCCACGGCACCCACGCCCCUCACGACAUCUCCACGCCUACCUCCCGUCCCGAACACGCCCGUGGGCGUGGCCACGCACGUUCCCGGAGCCGUGACGCUUCGGCAGACUCGCACCACCACGCCCGUGACGCCUCGCUAGGAAGCAGCGCGCGGCGGGUUGGUGGUGGUGGUGGUGCAGGAGGAGGAGGAGGAGGAGGAGGGGGGGGAGGAGGAGGAGUUGGGGGCGGUGGCGGGGAAGAAGGUGGUACAACCAACUCGAGAGGCUCCUCACCUGCCCGCGCCCACACUCAUUCGGCUACGCCUGCGCACACUACGCCACCCACUUUACUAAGGCACGCCCAUAACCUGUAAUGAUGAAGCCAAGCACGCCCACGCUGGUACGCCGGCGCCCACACCCGCCCCUCGUCCGACAGUUUUCUUUGCCGCAGGUGCUCAG